UUGAAGGUUGGGUAACACUAACUGGAGGACCGAACCGACUAAUGUUGAAAAAUUAGCGGAUGACUUGUGGCUGGGGGUGAAAGGCCAAUCAAACCGGGAGAUAGCUGGUUCUCCCCGAAAGCUAUUUAGGUAGCGCCUCGUGAAUUCAUCUCCGGGGGUAGAGCACUGUUUCGGCAAGGGGGUCAUCCCGACUUACCAACCCGAUGCAAACUGCGAAUACCGGAGAAUGUUAUCACGGGAGACACACGGCGGGUGCUAACGUCCGUCGUGAAGAGGGAAACAACCCAGACCGCCAGCUAAGGUCCCAAAGUCAUGGUUAAGUGGGAAACGAUGUGGGAAGGCCCAGACAGCCAGGAUGUUGGCUUAGAAGCAGCCAUCAUUUAAAGAAAGCGUAAUAGCUCACUGGUCGAGUCGGCCUGCGCGGAAGAUGUAACGGGGCUAAACCAUGCACCGAAGCUGCGGCAGCGACGCUGAUGCGUUGUUGGGUAGGGGAGCGUUCUGUAAGCCUGCGAAGGUGUGCUGUGAGGCAUGCUGGAGGUAUCAGAAGUGCGAAUGCUGACAUAAGUAACGAUAAAGCGGGUGAAAAGCCCGCUCGCCGGAAGACCAAGGGUUCCUGUCCAACGUUAAUCGGGGCAGGGUGAGUCGACCCCUAAGGCGAGGCCGAAAGGCGUAGUCGAUGGGAAACAGGUUAAUAUUCCUGUACUUGGUGUUACUGCGAAGGGGGGACGGAGAAGGCUAUGUU
This 742-nucleotide ribosomal RNA is filed under the name Escherichia coli. RNAcentral describes it as "partial 23S ribosomal RNA". It matches the Rfam family "Bacterial large subunit ribosomal RNA", at positions 745 to 1488 of the family's 2925-position model. The record is from RNAcentral. Lineage: Bacteria; Pseudomonadati; Pseudomonadota; Gammaproteobacteria; Enterobacterales; Enterobacteriaceae.